RNAcentral lists this transfer RNA (73 nucleotides) under Stegodyphus mimosarum. It matches the Rfam family "tRNA". From Rfam's summary of the family: Transfer RNA (tRNA) molecules are approximately 80 nucleotides in length. Their secondary structure includes four short double-helical elements and three loops (D, anti-codon, and T loops). Further hydrogen bonds mediate the characteristic L-shaped molecular structure. tRNAs have two regions of fundamental functional importance: the anti-codon, which is responsible for specific mRNA codon recognition, and the 3' end, to which the tRNAs corresponding amino acid is attached (by aminoacyl-tRNA synthetases). tRNAs cope with the degeneracy of the genetic code in two manners: having more than one tRNA (with a specific anti-codon) for a particular amino acid; and 'wobble' base-pairing, i.e. permitting non-standard base-pairing at the 3rd anti-codon position. The record is from Rfam by way of RNAcentral. Lineage: Eukaryota; Metazoa; Arthropoda; Arachnida; Araneae; Eresidae.
GCCUUCGUGGUGUAGUGGUCAGCACGCUCGACGUGUAUUCGAGAGGUCCGUGGUUCGAGUCCCUGCGAGGGGA